This 166-nucleotide small RNA is filed under the name uncultured Acetatifactor sp. RNAcentral's name for it is "Clostridiales-1 RNA". It matches the Rfam family "Clostridiales-1 RNA". Lineage: Bacteria; Bacillati; Bacillota; Clostridia; Lachnospirales; Lachnospiraceae. The record is from RNAcentral.
GAUACCAGGGUACCAAGGUCUUUACCCACUUGAGCUUGCUCAAAAGUGGGUAAUAGACUUUGGUACCCGCCCCAAAUAUGAGCAUAAAAGUGGGACGCUAGUCCCACGAUAUGCGAAUAUUUGGUAGGAUUGUGAGAGCGCGUAGCGCGGAACAAUCCGUAGGUAU